Molecule: ribosomal RNA, 465 nt
Filed under: uncultured bacterium
Lineage: Bacteria
Description: bacterial SSU rRNA
Rfam family: Bacterial small subunit ribosomal RNA
Source: RNAcentral
UCCAGACUCCUACGGGAGGCAGCAGUGAGGAAUAUUGGUCAAUGGGCGAGAGCCUGAACCAGCCAAGUCGCGUGAGGGAAGACGGUCCUACGGAUUGUAAACCUCUUUUGUCGGGGAGCAAAGCGAGUCACGUGUGACUCAUUGAGAGUACCCGAAGAAAAAGCAUCGGCUAACUCCGUGCCAGCAGCCGCGGUAAUACGGAGGAUGCGAGCGUUAUCCGGAUUUAUUGGGUUUAAAGGGUGCGCAGGCGGAGGUACAAGUCAGCGGUCAAAUUGCGGGGCUCAACCCCGUACUGCCGUUGAAACUGCAUCCCUUGAGUGCGCGAGAAGUAUGCGGAAUGCGUGGUGUAGCGGUGAAAUGCAUAGAUAUCACGCAGAACUCCGAUUGCGAAGGCAGCAUACCGGCGCGCAACUGACGCUGAAGCACGAAAGCGUGGGUAUCGAACAGGAUUAGAUACCCCCGUAU